UGAGUCGGCCGGGUGGCCGCGGCACGACUUGAUCGUGUCGAGGAAAGUCGGGACUCCACAGAGCAGAGUGCUGGCGUGAGCCAGGUUGGGGCGACCUAACGGAAGUGCAACAGAGAGAGACCGCCGAUGGACCGUUGGUUUCGACCGACGGUCACAGGUAAGGGUGCAACGGUGCGGUAAGAGCGCACCAGCGUGCAAGGCGACUUGUACGGCUCGGUAAACCCCACUCGGAGCAAGGCCAAGCAGAGAGAUUGAACUGCUCGUUCGUCGGCUUUUGUCGGCAACUCUCGGGUAGGCCGCACUAGAGGGAUGGUCACCGUCGAACCGCUCCGGCGGCAAGGCACAGAAUCCCGCUUACAGGCCGACUCACUAC
Molecule: RNase P RNA, 373 nt
Filed under: Actinomycetes bacterium
Lineage: Bacteria; Bacillati; Actinomycetota; Actinomycetes
Description: RNase P RNA component class A
Rfam family: Bacterial RNase P class A
About the family: Ribonuclease P (RNase P) is a ubiquitous endoribonuclease, found in archaea, bacteria and eukarya as well as chloroplasts and mitochondria.
Source: RNAcentral